This is a non-coding RNA of Cherax quadricarinatus, 349 nucleotides long. The record is from RefSeq and is a predicted model, not a curated record. NCBI's taxonomy places the organism in Eukaryota, Metazoa, Arthropoda, Malacostraca, Decapoda, Parastacidae.
CGGGUUAGGACACGAGGUUAUGCGCGGGGCUCUUCCCGGUUCAGUCGCCCUUACUAAGGGAAUCCCUGUUGGUUUCUUUUCCUCCGCUUAUUAAUAUGCUUAAAUUUGGCGGGUAGGUCUCUCCACUCACGAGGUCACAGUUUGGACCAGCCUCGCGUUUUUCACGGACCGGCGGUGGCGCUCGGGGACGCCGCAAGAACCGCGGCGCUCUACGGCACACCGUGUUACCAACACCCUCUCUCACAGCGGAUGGCUUUGAGGGUCACGGCGCCUUAAACAGAAAAGAAAACUCUUUCCCGGACCACCGCCGGUGGGCGCGAGCAGGUUCCCGUUUCCGGGAUCCUCCAUA